AUUAGACUUUCAAUGAUUCAGAAGUUUCUCUACAGUUUCGUUAUUUUUUUUCCAGUCAUUGAUGUUAGCAUGUACUACACAAAGAAAAACAGUUUCCAUAUUAGAUGCCAUAGCAAAUCAAAGAUCAUAUAAUAAAAUAAGUCAAAAAACCCAAAUAUGGAAAAAGAAAGAGCUGAAGAAAUGGUGAUUUGAGCACCUAUGCUUUCUCAUAGGUGUUUUUGGAGGUUUCCAUAUUAGAUGCCAUAGCAAAUCAAAG
This is a long non-coding RNA of Patella vulgata (common limpet), 256 nucleotides long. RefSeq lists it as uncharacterized. NCBI's taxonomy places the organism in Eukaryota, Metazoa, Mollusca, Gastropoda, Patellidae. The transcript is spliced from 3 exons. The record is from RefSeq and is a predicted model, not a curated record.